AGGGAUCAAGUGAUGAUUGAUAACGCAUAGUUCAGAUGAUAAAUUCUAUUAUGAUUAACAUCUUCAGCAUAGUCUUUCGCUCCUAUCUGAUGACCCUU
Arabidopsis thaliana (thale cress) is the source of this 98-nucleotide small nucleolar RNA. It matches the Rfam family "Small nucleolar RNA snR60/Z15/Z230/Z193/J17". From Rfam's summary of the family: The members of this family belong to the C/D class of snoRNAs which contain the C (UGAUGA) and D (CUGA) box motifs. Most of the members of the box C/D family function in directing site-specific 2'-O-methylation of substrate RNAs. NCBI's taxonomy places the organism in Eukaryota, Viridiplantae, Streptophyta, Magnoliopsida, Brassicales, Brassicaceae. The record is from Rfam.